RNAcentral lists this ribosomal RNA (530 nucleotides) under Pediococcus acidilactici. RNAcentral describes it as "bacterial SSU rRNA". It matches the Rfam family "Bacterial small subunit ribosomal RNA", at positions 8 to 493 of the family's 1533-position model. Lineage: Bacteria; Bacillati; Bacillota; Bacilli; Lactobacillales; Lactobacillaceae. The record is from RNAcentral.
AGAGUUUGAUCCUGGCUCAGGAUGAACGCUGGCGGCGUGCCUAAUACAUGCAAGUCGAACGAACUUCCGUUAAUUGAUCAGGACGUGCUUGCACUGAAUGAGAUUUUAACACGAAGUGAGUGGCGGACGGGUGAGUAACACGUGGGUAACCUGCCCAGAAGCAGGGGAUAACACCUGGAAACAGAUGCUAAUACCGUAUAACAGAGAAAACCGCCUGGUUUUCUUUUAAAAGAUGGCUCUGCUAUCACUUCUGGAUGGACCCGCGGCGCAUUAGCUAGUUGGUGAGGUAACGGCUCACCAAGGCGAUGAUGCGUAGCCGACCUGAGAGGGUAAUCGGCCACAUUGGGACUGAGACACGGCCCAGACUCCUACGGGAGGCAGCAGUAGGGAAUCUUCCACAAUGGACGCAAGUCUGAUGGAGCAACGCCGCGUGAGUGAAGAAGGGUUUCGGCUCGUAAAGCUCUGUUGUUAAAGAAGAACGUGGGUGAGAGUAACUGUUCACCCAGUGACGGUAUUUAACCAGAAAGCCA